ACCAACUAUGUAUUAUAAAAAAAGGUAUACAAUACAUUUUUAUAUAUGUCUCUUUUUUGUUCAAUAUACAAAAUAAAAACAAUAUUAUCCUCGAAGAACGUUCAAUGUGCCUUUUUUAUAAAAAGGUAAAGUAAGUACAUCAUUUGCUGCCAUUGGAGGAAUAGAGAACCAGGUACUAAAACCAUACGAGAUUAAAGGUCUUAUCAAUACAUCAGAAUUUUAGUACUAUGGGAUAGAUGCUUUAAAGGAAGUAAGGAGGAGUUCCUGAAACAAGUUAGCCCACAUUUUUCAGUUUUUUUUAAUCCCCAAGAUUUCAAAUACGAAGUUAAACUAGGUAAAGCAUUUUGUAAUUUUUUUGGCCUUACAGCAGCAGCAAAAACUUUUGUGUCAUCUGCAUACAGAAGUUCGGAUUCAGAUUUUGGUCCAAGUAAUGUUCCUUGAGCAACUCCUAAGAGUACUGGGAAAGGAUAUGAAAACUCCAAUCCAAUGACAAUAGACGCAGUUCUUGAA
Molecule: long non-coding RNA, 510 nt
Organism: Eupeodes corollae
Lineage: Eukaryota; Metazoa; Arthropoda; Insecta; Diptera; Syrphidae
Exons: 2
Source: RefSeq, a predicted model, not a curated record